Molecule: ribosomal RNA, 495 nt
Filed under: uncultured bacterium
Lineage: Bacteria
Description: partial 16S ribosomal RNA
Rfam family: Bacterial small subunit ribosomal RNA
Source: RNAcentral
GACGAACGCUGGCGGCGUGCCUAAUACAUGCAAGUAGAACGCUGAAGGAGGAGCUUGCUCUUCUGGAUGAGUUGCGAACGGGUGAGUAACGCGUAGGUAACCUGCCUGGUAGCGGGGGAUAACUAUUGGAAACGAUAGCUAAUACCGCAUAACAGUAGAUGUUGCAUGACAUUUACUUAAAAGGUGCAAUUUCAUCACUACCAGAUGGACCUGCGUUGUAUUAGCUAGUUGGUGGGGUAACGGCUCACCAAGGCGACGAUACAUAGCCGACCUGAGAGGGUGAUCGGCCACACUGGGACUGAGACACGGCCCAGACUCCUACGGGAGGCAGCAGUAGGGAAUCUUCGGCAAUGGACGGAAGUCUGACCGAGCAACGCCGCGUGAGUGAAGAAGGUUUUCGGAUCGUAAAGCUCUGUUGUAAGAGAAGAACGAGUGUGAGAGUGGAAAGUUCACACUGUGACGGUAUCUUACCAGAAAGGGACGGCUAACUACGUG